GUACCUUGGGAACAUCCAAUCAAAUUGGAACAAUACAGAGAAAAUUAGCAUGGCCCUGCGCAAGGAUGACACGCACAAAUCGAAAACUCAUCUCU
RNAcentral lists this small nuclear RNA (95 nucleotides) under Marchantia polymorpha subsp. ruderalis. The record is from RNAcentral. Lineage: Eukaryota; Viridiplantae; Streptophyta; Marchantiopsida; Marchantiales; Marchantiaceae.